This is a non-coding RNA of Peromyscus maniculatus bairdii (prairie deer mouse), 400 nucleotides long. Lineage: Eukaryota; Metazoa; Chordata; Mammalia; Rodentia; Cricetidae. The record is from RefSeq and is a predicted model, not a curated record.
AUUUCCCCAUCCUGAACUUGACCUCCUCCUUGAUGAUACCAUCUCUCCUCCCUCUCCUGGACUAGACUCCUGGAGCAACCCACAGCUCCAGACAAGCCAGUGUAGGAAACAUGAAGCAGACUACCAAUAUCUCCAAGACCCACCAAGAAGCAGAGAAACUCAACUGGAAACAAUGUUAUGCUGUAACUUCAAAGCCCAACCUCUAAGAUUCUGUGGUCAUGUGUCUUCCAGGCAACGGUUGCAGCAGAGCAGCCACUGGCAGCAAGAUGAGCUUAUCUGAGUGAGCAGACUUUCUUCACCGACCGUCAACCAGAGCUAGAAGACCACUGCUUGGUAUUUCAUACCAUCUCUGAAUGAGAAAACCUUCAUGUAUUUUCAAAGAAUCAAAAAUGCCAACAAA